AUGUAAAAAGAGAACAAAGCAAAAGCACUUUUCCUUAAACGUUUUUCCAGUAAAAUUGGUUCUGCAUUAUCUUUGUAACAGGGAGCUCAAAAAAUCAAAUUUUCCUUAUCUAAAUUACAUUUUGUUGCUAAAGCAAAAAAAGAAAAAAGAUUUGAGUCUGUCAGAGACUUAUGUUCCUGUCUCCUUAGAAAUCAAGGACACAGUAGUACGAGCCUAUAGAACAGAUCCUGUUCAAGUAAGGUCGUGCUUUUAAGUGCUCUGAUUUGGUUAUAUAAAUGUUUAUGUUUUACUUCACUUAACCGGUGAGGGAGUAAUAUAAUGCCUUUUGUUGUAACUCUCAGUUUGUUUAUAUUGGAAAAAAGAUGCUUCUGAUAAGUCUAUUAAUGUUUCCAGAUUUUGUUACCAUUUCAACAAGGGACCAUAUUUUCAUGAUUGGUUGAAAAGCCUUAACAGUACUUGGAGUUCAAGGACAUAUUCUCGCCGAAUGAUUUUUCGCUGAUGGAGUUGUUCAAGCUUGGUCAGCAACACUUGGCUGUAAUGUGGAUGAGAAGAUUUCAGAGGAAGAUAUUGAGUUGUCUCCUUCCCACAAAAGCUGUUGCUUUUUAUACUCUGUGAAAUCUGAUGUUUGCAGGUAGCUCAGUUUGUAUACUCUAUUUGCGUAAACAUUCUGGUGGGGGGGUUGAUUAUAUAUUUCUUUGAUCACCUUGUUGUGCAAUGAAGAGUACUUUCUUCUUUCAUUGGUGUUUUUGAAUGAAAUAUGUAAAGCCUGACUAUUUUGUAUGCUAUAGUCAUGUUAGAUUUUGAUCGAGAAAAUGGUAUGGUUUGUAAAGAUGGAACAGCUCGAUUGCUUAUUACAUUACGUCUUCCAAACGUAUAGUUAAAAUUUUAGAAUUCA
This is a long non-coding RNA of Lathyrus oleraceus (garden pea), 895 nucleotides long. RefSeq lists it as uncharacterized. NCBI's taxonomy places the organism in Eukaryota, Viridiplantae, Streptophyta, Magnoliopsida, Fabales, Fabaceae. The transcript has 2 exons. The record is from RefSeq and is a predicted model, not a curated record.